Molecule: ribosomal RNA, 468 nt
Filed under: uncultured bacterium
Lineage: Bacteria
Description: partial 16S ribosomal RNA
Rfam family: Bacterial small subunit ribosomal RNA
Source: RNAcentral
GACGAACGCUGGCGGCGUGCUUAACACAUGCAAGUCGAACGGAAAGGCCCUGCUUUUGUGGGGUGCUCGAUUGGCGAACGGGUGAGUAACACGUGUGUAACCUGCCCCUGACUUUGGGAUAACUUCAGGAAACUGGGGCUAAUACCGGAUAGGAUCUCCUGCUGCAUGGUGGGGGUUGGAAAGUUUCGGUUGUUGGGGCUGGACUCGCUGGUUAUCAGCUUGUUGGUGUGGUAGUGGCUUACCAAGGGUUUGAGGGGUAGCCGGCAUGAGAGGGUGAACGGGCACCAUGGGACUAAGAUACGGCGCAGUAUGCUACGGGAGGCAGUGGGGGAGAACAUGACGCAGUGAGCGGAAGCCUGAGGCGGAGGCGCCGGGAGCGGAAUGACGGCCUUUGGGGUGUAAACAGAUUUCGAAUGUAACGAAGAGUGAGUGACGGUAAUGGGUCAAGAAGCACCGGCUAACUACGUG